Non-coding RNA from Xylaria palmicola, 108 nucleotides. Lineage: Eukaryota; Fungi; Ascomycota; Sordariomycetes; Xylariales; Xylariaceae. The record is from the annotation of a GenBank genome assembly.
GGCCUCGUGGCGAAAUGGCAUCGCGUUAGAUUUCGGCGAAAUGCAAAACAACGAAAUUCCAAAGUACUUGUACUCUAAAGAUUGUCGGUUCGAAUCCGGCCGAGGUCG